GGGCCCUUAGCUCAGUCUGGUUUACAGCCCCCGGCUCAUACCAGCCCAGUGACAAUACGUCCGGCUGUGGGACACCGGGUGAUCGGUGGUUCAAAUCCGCCAGGGCCCA
RNAcentral lists this transfer RNA (109 nucleotides) under Halarchaeum acidiphilum MH1-52-1. Its description in RNAcentral is "tRNA-Met". It matches the Rfam family "tRNA". From Rfam's summary of the family: Transfer RNA (tRNA) molecules are approximately 80 nucleotides in length. The record is from RNAcentral. Lineage: Archaea; Methanobacteriati; Methanobacteriota; Halobacteria; Halobacteriales; Halobacteriaceae.